Molecule: long non-coding RNA, 223 nt
Filed under: Lathyrus oleraceus (garden pea)
Lineage: Eukaryota; Viridiplantae; Streptophyta; Magnoliopsida; Fabales; Fabaceae
Description: Pisum sativum (pea) long non-coding RNA (PSAT_LNC038563)
Source: RNAcentral
AAUACUGGAUCUAGAACCAUUUUAACAAGGGAUCAAGGACCUAAACUUACUUAUCUGAAUCUCUAACCUUGGAAGAAGAGGCAUUGAAAGUGGAGUCAAUAGCCUUUUGGGAGAGUUUGGGCUUUGAAGAUGGGGUUGGCCCUUCGGAAGAAAAACACAUCCAUUAGAAAAUGCGCUUUAUCAAAACUUGGGAAGUUGUGGACACAACCAAAGCCCCCGAGAG